This 506-nucleotide ribosomal RNA is filed under the name uncultured bacterium. RNAcentral's name for it is "partial 16S ribosomal RNA". It matches the Rfam family "Bacterial small subunit ribosomal RNA", at positions 29 to 523 of the family's 1533-position model. The record is from RNAcentral.
AGUGAACGCUGGCGGUAGGCCUAACACAUGCAAGUCGAACGGCAGCACAGGAGAGCUUGCUCUCUGGGUGGCGAGUGGCGGACGGGUGAGGAAUACAUCGGAAUCUACUCUGUCGUGGGGGAUAACGUAGGGAAACUUACGCUAAUACCGCAUACGACCUACGGGUGAAAGCAGGGGAUCUUCGGACCUUGCGCGAUUGAAUGAGCCGAUGUCGGAUUAGCUAGUUGGCGGGGUAAAGGCCCACCAAGGCGACGAUCCGUAGCUGGUCUGAGAGGAUGGACAGCCACACUGGAGCUGAGACACGGUCCAGACUCCUACGGGAGGCAGCAGUGGGGAAUAUUGGACAAUGGGCGCAAGCCUGAUCCAGCCAUACCGCGUGGGUGAAGAAGGCCUUCGGGUUGUAAAGCCCUUUUGUUGGGAAAGAAAUCCAUCUGGUUAAUACCCGGGUGGGAUGACGGUACCCAAAGAAUAAGCACCGGCUAACUUCGUGCCAGCCGCCGCCGUAA